GAAAGGGGUGACGGCGUACCUUUUGUAUAAUGGGUCAGCGACUUACGUUCAGUAGCAAGCUUAACCGAAUAGGGCAGGCGUAGCGAAAGCGAGUCCGAAUAGGGCGUUCAGUUGCUGGGCGUAGACCCGAAACCAGGUGAUCUAUCCAUGGCCAGGAUGAAGGUGCGGUAACACGUACUGGAGGUCCGAACCCACUAACGUUGAAAAGUUAGGGGAUGAGCUGUGGAUAGGGGUGAAAGGCUAAACAAACCUGGAAAUAGCUGGUUCUCUCCGAAAACUAUUUAGGUAGUGCCUCGUGUCUCACCUUCGGGGGUAGAGCACUGUCAUGGUUGGGGGGUCUAUUGCAGAUUACCCCGCCAUAGCAAACUCCGAAUACCGAAGAGUGCAAUCACGGGAGACAGACAUCGGGUGCUAACGUCCGGUGUCAAGAGGGAAACAACCCAGACCGCCAGCUAAGGUCCCCAAAUAUGGCUAAGUGGGAAACGAAGUGGGAAGGCUAAAACAGUCAGGAGGUUGGCUUAGAAGCAGCCACCCUUUAAAGAAAGCGUAAUAGCUCACUGAUCGAGUCGUCCUGCGCGGAAGAUGUAACGGGGCUAAGCCAUAUACCGAAGCUGCGGAUGCGUGCUUGCACGCAUGGUAGGAGAGCGUUCCGUAAGCCUGCGAAGGUGCCUUGUAAAGGGUGCUGGAGGUAUCGGAAGUGCGAAUGCUGACAUGAGUAGCGAUAAAGGGGGUGAAAGGCCCCCUCGCCGUAAGCCCAAGGUUUCCUACGCAACGUUCAUCGGCGUAGGGUGAGUCGGCCCCUAAGGCGAGGCAGAAAUGCGUAGCUGAUGGGAAGCAGGUCAAUAUUCCUGCACCAUUGUUAGAUGCGAUGGGGGGACGGAUCGCGGAAGGU
RNAcentral lists this ribosomal RNA (892 nucleotides) under Salmonella enterica subsp. enterica serovar Typhimurium. Its description in RNAcentral is "partial 23S ribosomal RNA". It matches the Rfam family "Bacterial large subunit ribosomal RNA", at positions 586 to 1487 of the family's 2925-position model. The record is from RNAcentral. Lineage: Bacteria; Pseudomonadati; Pseudomonadota; Gammaproteobacteria; Enterobacterales; Enterobacteriaceae.